CAGCCGCCGCGGGAAUACGGAGGGAGCUAGCGUUGUUCGGAAUUACUGGGCGUAAAGCGCACGUAGGCGGCUUUGUAAGUUAGAGGUGAAAGCCUGGAGCUCAACUCCAGAAUUGCCUUUAAGACUGCAUCGCUUGAAUCCGGGAGAGGUGAGUGGAAUUCCGAGUGUAGAGGUGAAAUUCGUAGAUAUUCGGAAGAACACCAGUGGCGAAGGCGGCUCACUGGACCGGCAUUGACGCUGAGGUGCGAAAGCGUGGGGAGCAAACAGGAUUAGAUACCCCCGAGUCCCUGUCUCUUAUACA
This 301-nucleotide ribosomal RNA is filed under the name uncultured bacterium. Its description in RNAcentral is "partial 16S ribosomal RNA". It matches the Rfam family "Bacterial small subunit ribosomal RNA", at positions 509 to 808 of the family's 1533-position model. The record is from RNAcentral.